AUGAACGCUAGCGACAGGCCUAACACAUGCAAGUCGAGGGGCAGCACAAGGAGCAAUCUGAGGUGGCGACCGGCGCACGGGUGAGUAACACGUAUGCAACCUGCCUGUAAGCGGGGAAUAACCCGUUGAAAGACGGACUAAUACCGCAUAAUACUAAAUUACUGCAUGGUAAUUUAUUUAAACAUUUAUGGCUUACAGAUGGGCAUGCGCAUGAUUAGCUAGUUGGAGAGGUAACGGCUCCCCAAGGCAACGAUCAUUAGGGGUUCUGAGAGGAAGGUCCCCCACACUGGUGCUGAGACACGGACCAGACUCCUACGGGAGGCAGCAGUGAGGAAUAUUGGUCAAUGGACGAGAGUCUGAACCAGCCAAGUCGCGUGCAGGAAGAAUGUCCCUAUGGAUUGUAAACUGCUUUUGCAGGGGAAUAAAGUGCAUCACGUGUGAUGUUUUGUAUGUACUCUGCGAAUAAGGAUCGGCUAACUCCGUGCCAGCCGCGGC
Molecule: ribosomal RNA, 495 nt
Filed under: uncultured bacterium
Lineage: Bacteria
Description: bacterial SSU rRNA
Rfam family: Bacterial small subunit ribosomal RNA
Source: RNAcentral